ACGCGCUUCGCGGCGCUGGACGCCAACGGCGACGGCGUGCUGUCCCGCGCCGAGCUCCGCCGCGCGCUCGAGUCGUUCCGCCUCCUCGACGGCGACGGGUUCGGGUCCGCCGAGCCGGCGCCGCUCCCCGCCGAGGUCGCCGCGCUCUACGACGCCGUCUUCGAGCAGUUCGACGCCGACCACAGCGGCGCCGUCGACCGCGCCGAGUUCCGCGACGAGAUGCGCCGCAUCAUGCUCGCCGUCGCCGAGGGGCUCGGCUCGCAGCCGCUCCAGGUCGCCGUCGACGACGAGGGAGGAAGCUUCCUGCUCGAGGCCGCGCAGCACGAGGCCAAGGCCAUCGCCGCCAAGGUCGACGCCGAGCGCAAGGCGGCGGCCGCCGAUGCUGAUGCUGCCGCCGC
RNAcentral lists this long non-coding RNA (398 nucleotides) under Setaria viridis. RNAcentral's name for it is "long non-coding RNA (SVIR_LNC011204)". Lineage: Eukaryota; Viridiplantae; Streptophyta; Magnoliopsida; Poales; Poaceae. The record is from RNAcentral.